UGGACCUGAAUUAUUUUUGUAUUGAAAUGGUUUAACGUCUUGAUUAAGUUUAUUCAAGAAAAAUCAAGCAAAAUAUUCUAGGAGUAAUUAUUAAGACGAUGCGAGGAGUAGUAGUAAUUAAGGAAUGUACAUUCUGUUCGGCCGACAAAUUAAUUGAGCGGUAGGGUAGUAUACAUCUCUACAAAAAUCCAUAAAAGGAACCCACUCUCCCUCCUUAGUUUUUAUAAAUAAGUCCCUUUGUCUCUCCCUCCUCCGUGAAGAAACCAAAAACAGUCCCACUCUCUCUCCAAAACCUCUCUCAGAUCUGAUCAGAUCAUCAACAGCAGCAUGGUUCUAUCCAAGACUGUGUCGCAGAGCGAUGUCUCCAUCAGCUCGACCUUCGGUUCACGAUAUGUUCGGGCCAGCCUUCCCAGGUACGUACGUACGCAAUUAACAAAUUAAUUAGUAAAGUAGUAGUGAACAAGGCAGGAAAAUAUAUAUGUACAUGUGGUGUGCAGGUUUAAGAUGGGGGAAAAUUCGAUACCAAAAGAAGCGGCAUACCAAAUAAUUAACGAUGAGCUAAUGUUAGACGGGAAUCCGAGGCUGAACUUGGCCUCCUUCGUCACCACAUGGAUGGAACCGGAGUGUGAUAAACUCAUCAUGGCCUCCGUUAACAAAAACUACGUUGACAUGGACGAGUAUCCUGUCACCACCGAGCUACAGGCAAGUCAUAAGUACGAUAUUAGUUAGUAUGAAGUUUACUUUAGUCAGAUAUGUGAUCAAUACGUGUUAGUACUAUAUGAAAGUGGUUAGUAUAAAGUUAAUUUUGGUCAAUUGAUCAAUAUAGAUAUAGUAUUGACAUAUAAGUAAGCGGGAGGUGAUCACUACUUGUUAGAGUACUAUAUAUAUUGAUCGAUUGACCAAUUUAUUAUAAAAUUAAAUUCAUGAUAACCGAAUUUAUUAUUUGAGUUCAUUUCUACUUAAUUCUUUAUUUCAUAAGAUAGGAUAUGAUAAAUAAAGGAAUUCGGUUAGCAUGAAGUUUAUUUUUUAGUAAGUUGGUCAAUUGAUCAGUAAAAUACUGACACACGUAGAGUUUCGCAUGCGUGUUAAUACUCUAUUUGACUAAUUGACAAACAUACUUAAAAAUAAAUUUUAUACUAACUACUGCUUAAAUAAAGUAAGGAGUACAUAAUACGACACAAACACGCUAGCUAUGGGUAAGUUGAUUUCUACUAUUCAACUUAUCAUGAGUCACUGGUAAUUAGACUUGUACUAAGUAUGCGCUUUGUUUUUUCCUCACCCAACAUUAUUCUUAUAGUAUUAUUAUUAGUAGUAGAACACGCGUCACAGGGGUAGGUAGUCCGUGUUGGUAGGAGUCAUCCGGUACUGAAAAUUAGGACUAUAAAUAGUAAUCGAAAAAUUCGUAAUCGUCCGCAUUCGUAUUCGAAUAAAAACGAAUAUUAUUCGCAUUCGAAAAAAACGGAUAUAUCCGUAUUCGGUUUAAAGGUAUCCGUAAAUAAACGGAUACGAAUACGGAUAUAGGCGUAUUCGUAUUCGAUUAACAUCCG
Molecule: long non-coding RNA, 1547 nt
Filed under: Panax ginseng (ginseng)
Lineage: Eukaryota; Viridiplantae; Streptophyta; Magnoliopsida; Apiales; Araliaceae
Description: long non-coding RNA (PGIN_LNC012972)
Source: RNAcentral